UUAAACAUAUUAAAAUUAUCCUAGGGAAUAAUUAUACAACAUUACUUAAUUACUUAAAAAAAUUAACAUGCAAGUAUUAAUUACUUAAAAAAAUUAACAUACGAGUCCACACAAAUUUAUUUGUUGUUGUAUAAAUUACAAUAAUAUAAAUAUAAGUUUGUAAACUUACCUUAAAUAUGGAACCCUUUGUGUUCAAGCUUUGGAAUGGAUCUGGAAUGACUUUGAAAAUGGUAAGGGAAAUAAAAUAAUAAAUAACAUUAAAAUAUUAAAAUUAUCCUAGGGAAUAAUUAUACAACAUUACUUAAUUACUUAAAAAAAUUAACAUGUAAUUGUUAACAUUACUUAAUUACUUACAAAAACUAACAUGCAAGUAUUAAUUACUUUAAAAAAUUAACAUGUAAUUGUUAACAUUACUUAAUUACUUACAAAAACUAACAUGCAAGUAUGAAUUACUUAAAAAAAAUUAACAUACGAGUCCACACAAAUUUUUUUGUUGUUGUAUAAAUUAUAAUAAUAUAAAUAUAAGUUUGUAAACUUACUUUAAAUAUGGAACCCUUUGUGUUCAAGCUCUGGAAUGGAUCUGGAAUGACUUUGAAAGGGGUAAGGGAAGAAGAAGAAACGAAAAUGCUCUGAAUGGCUCUGAUACUCCACCUCUUGCAAGAAUAUCACAAUGGCAGCUUUGAAAAGGGUAAGGGAAGAAGAAGAAACGAAAAUGCUCUGAAUGGCUCUAAUACUCCACCUUUUGAAAGAAUAUCGGCACACGGUUUUGAAUGAAACCACCAUCCAUGGUCUGAAAAGAAUACAAGUUAUAAUUGUAAAAGUGGUCUGAAAUUGUCAAAAUAAUUGUAAAAGUUGUCGGGAAUCCUGAGUGAGUCAUAUGUCCUCCUGACAGGAGGAACCCACACACACACACAACGCACACAACCACACACGCACACAACGCACGCACAUAAACAUCACACACGCAGACACGACCUCUGUCUCUCUCUCU
RNAcentral lists this long non-coding RNA (991 nucleotides) under Malus domestica (apple). Its description in RNAcentral is "long non-coding RNA (MDOM_LNC011848)". The record is from RNAcentral. Lineage: Eukaryota; Viridiplantae; Streptophyta; Magnoliopsida; Rosales; Rosaceae.